Molecule: ribosomal RNA, 255 nt
Filed under: uncultured bacterium
Lineage: Bacteria
Description: partial 16S ribosomal RNA
Rfam family: Bacterial small subunit ribosomal RNA
Source: RNAcentral
GAUCCUGGCUCAGAUUGAACGCUGGCGGCAGGCCUAACACAUGCAAGUCGAACGGUAACAGGAAGAAGCUUGCUUCUUUGCUGACGAGUGGCGGACGGGUGAGUAAUGUCUGGGAAACUGCCUGAUGGAGGGGGAUAACUACUGGAAACGGUAGCUAAUACCGCAUAACGUCGCAAGACCAAAGAGGGGGGACCUUCGGGCCUCUUGCCAUCGGAUGUGCCCAGANGGGAGUUAGCUAGUAGGUGGGGUAACGGG